This 515-nucleotide ribosomal RNA is filed under the name uncultured bacterium. Its description in RNAcentral is "partial 16S ribosomal RNA". It matches the Rfam family "Bacterial small subunit ribosomal RNA", at positions 28 to 523 of the family's 1533-position model. The record is from RNAcentral.
GAUGAACGCUGGCGGCGUGCCUAAUACAUGCAAGUCGAGCGAAUGGAUUAAGAGCUUGCUCUUAUGAAGUUAGCGGCGGACGGGUGAGUAACACGUGGGUAACCUGCCCAUAAGACUGGGAUAACUCCGGGAAACCGGGGCUAAUACCGGAUAACAUUUUGAACCGCAUGGUUCGAAAUUGAAAGGCGGCUUCGGCUGGCACUUAUGGAUGGACCCGCGUCGCAUUAGCUAGUUGGUGAGGUAACGGCUCACCAAGGCAACGAUGCGAAGCCGACCUGAGAGGGUGAUCGGCCACACUGGGACUGAGACACGGCCCAGACUCCUAUGGGAGGCAGCAGUAGGGAAUCUUCCGCAAUGGACGAAAGUCUGACGGAGCAACGCCGCGUGAGUGAUGAAGGCUUUCGGGUCGUAAAACUCUGUUGUUAGGGAAGAACAAGUGCUAGUUGAAUAAGCUGGCACCUUGACGGUACCUAACCAGAAAGCCACGGCUAACUACGUGCCAGCCGCCGCGGUAA